GCCCCCACAAUUAUUGAAGGUGUCGCCUGCCCAAUGGAUUAACCCCCCAAAGAUAAAAAAGCUUUCACAAAAAACCAAAUGGCUGCAGUAACCAUAACUGUAACAAUGUAGCACAAUCAAUCGUCACUUAAUUAGUGAAUAGUAUGAAUGGCCAAACGAAAAUCUCACUGUCUCAUAGUAUAACCAAAAAAAAUUAAAAUAACAGUUAAGAUGCUGUUUAAAAUUGUAAGACGAGAAGACCCUAUAAAGCUUAACUAUUAAUCUUAAAUAAAAUUUUAAGAAGAGAUAGUUUCAUUGGGGCGAUGGUUUUUAAAAUAAAACAAAAAUACAACAAAAAUAAUUUAAAACAUUUACUGUACAACCCAUCAGUUUAACAGUUACAAAGUAGGUUAAAUACGACCCAUUAACUUCAAGAAAAAAGUUAAUGAUUAAUAAAUAAAAGCUACUUUAGGGAUAACAGAAUAAUUUUAUUCAAAAGUCCAAAUUUAAAAUAAAGUUUAUUACCUCGAUGUUGAAUUGAGAUACCCCAGGGGUGCAAAAGCUCCUAAAGGUAGGUCUGUUCGACCAUUAAAAUCUC
RNAcentral lists this ribosomal RNA (577 nucleotides) under Gymnangium hians. RNAcentral describes it as "partial large subunit ribosomal RNA". It matches the Rfam family "Bacterial large subunit ribosomal RNA", at positions 1833 to 2597 of the family's 2925-position model. The record is from RNAcentral. Lineage: Eukaryota; Metazoa; Cnidaria; Hydrozoa; Leptothecata; Aglaopheniidae.